CUCCUAAGAGCAUGCACACAUGAACAAGCCUGUAUCAAAAGCAGAACCUGAGAUGGGAGUCCUAGAAAAAGCUUCAGAGACCCCCUCCAGGGUGGAGUGGUAGGGAAUGGGACCUUGCCUUUCUCUUUUCUCCUAGCACAGAGGAUCAGUUCUCUUUACAAUGAAACAAAAGCCUGCAGAAUCAAGAUCUGAUACUUUGUUUAAAGGAACAAGGAAGACAAGCUGACUUUUCCCUCAUGAGUCUAUGCACAGUGCCUGUCCCUUUCAGGUCAAAUAAUACCAAUGGGUACCAAGAGAUUGAACAGGCCUACUUUUUGCAGACCAGGCUACCUGUGGCCCUGGGAAACGUUAAGCUCUGCACUUUCCUAAUCAUCUUAGGUUUUAGCAUGCCCAUCCAGAUGCGGUUUUGGUGUUUCAGCUGACCUAUCUCUGCCCAGUGUGGAGGAUAUACAGUACUCUGUGGUUCUUCCCUUCAAGUAAUAAUAGGAUUCUCCACUGCCCAGGAAGCAAAGAUCCUGGGUGAGGGAUUGGGGAAAGAGUAGAAUGCCCCAGCAACUCAGUCACAUUACCAGAUGGCUGACAACACCUUCGGCUAUCCUCCACUCCAAAGAGAUUUCCCAAAUAUGUCAACCCCUCCAGGCAAGAAACUGACAGUGUGAUGGUACUCUCAGGCAGAACAGGGCCAAGGACAGAAGGGGAUUAGCCUAAAUCUGGCUUUCUGCCACACUGGGGUUUCUCUUAUUAGAUAAAAGCCACAGAUAAAAUUCAAAUGAAAGAGUAUCAGAAAGUUAGGCUUGAGCCCUGUGAGUAAAGGACUAUUUGAGUUCACUGUGCUCACAAAUGCAUUACCCAGGGAGAUACCGUGUCCUUGGGGAAUUUAAACUUCACCAAAGGGGAGGCAAGUUGGAAGGGAGUAGAGCUAUCUGCCCCACAGUAAACAAAGGCGGAGCCUAAGCAGGGGUAAAGGGCUAUCUGCCUCUCCCCUGUGAGUGUGUGUUCUAGUACUGGGGAAAGAGAAAGGAAAGCAAAGCAACCAAAGAAAGGUUGCUUAGUCCACCAGGCCCACGAAUAGAAGAGAACCACACAACAGUCAAGCAUUCUAACCUCUCCAGAGACUAGGAAUUUAGGAUUAAGGCCAGAAUCAAAGCCCACUCCCUCGGUAGUACUCUUAAGGUUUUUGUUAUUACUUUUUUUUUUCUUUUUGAGGCAGAGGUAGUGUGCUGACCUUACACUCCCGCAGUUGACCCCUCACUCCCCCAGUGCCGAUACUCGCCCAGGCUGGAGUACAGUGGCAUGAUCCAAUCCUGGUUCACUGCCACCUCCGCCUCCAGGGUUGAAGCAAUUCUUGUGCCUCAGCCUCCCAAGUAGCUGGGAUUACAGGCAUG
RNAcentral lists this long non-coding RNA (1385 nucleotides) under Homo sapiens (human). RNAcentral's name for it is "HSALNT0015498". The record is from RNAcentral. Lineage: Eukaryota; Metazoa; Chordata; Mammalia; Primates; Hominidae.